AAAAACAUGUCCUUUUGUUUAUUUAUUUAAGGUCUAACCUGCCCAAUGAUUUUUUAAUGGCCGCGGUAUUUUAACCGUGCUAAGGUAGCAUAAUCAUUUGUCUUUUAAUUGAGGGCUGGAAUGAAUGGUUGGACGAAAUAUUAACUUUCUUUAAUUUAUUAAUUGAACUUAAUUUUUUAGUUAAAAAGCUAGAAUUUUUUUAGGGGACGAGAAGACCCUAUAGAUCUUUAUAUUUUUAUGUAUUAUUUGUUUUAGUGUAUUUUAUAUUUAAUAUGUGAAUAUAUUUGGUUGGGGUGACUGUAGAAUAAUAAUAACUUCUAUUUUUUAUUUUCAUUAAUUAAUGUUUUAUUGAUCCACUUAUAGUGAUUAAAAGUUUAAGUUACCUUAGGGAUAACAGCGUAAUUUUUUCGGAGAGUUCUUAUCGAUGAUGGAGUUUGCGACCUCGAUGUUGGAUUAAAAUAAGUAAAUAAGUGCAGUAGCUAUUUUACUAGGUCUGUUCGACCUUUAAAUUUUUACAUGAUCUGAGUUC
Molecule: ribosomal RNA, 529 nt
Filed under: Leogorrus sp. n. 00052198
Lineage: Eukaryota; Metazoa; Arthropoda; Insecta; Hemiptera; Reduviidae
Description: partial 16S ribosomal RNA
Rfam family: Bacterial large subunit ribosomal RNA
Source: RNAcentral